ACGUUAUGGUACUUGAUAGUUCAUACAUACAAUCUAACUUGUAAGCAUGUAAAAUUACAGAGAGAAUUACAAACUUUAAAAAUAAAAACAUGGGAUUUUAUUUUAUUUUGGUUUUAUCAUAUUUUUGAGAUAGCAUGAAGGAAAAAGACCCAAAGCUGUGUAUUUAUUUUUCAGCAGUCAUAAACAUCCCAUAAUUACGCUGAAAGUUGAUCCAUCGGUACUCAAAUGGAACUGCUGAAACCUUUAUUGUAAGCAUAUUCUACAAGGGAAUCGAGCUCAUCAUUGGUGCAGUCGAUCAAAUUGUCCUUAUUUUUAUCAGCAACGUCCAUGGCCUCUUCAACUUGCUUGUUUGGCAUUAGUGCACCUAGAUGUUCAAAAGCAUCCUUGAGCUGGUUCCUGUUGAGGCUGCCUUGCUUCGAGUAAGCUCGAAAAACUUGUUCCAAUUUGUUUUUCUGAUCCUUGUUAUCCUUUGUGGCUUGCAUUGGGGUUUUUGAGGUUUAUGACAGAGUGAUAAUAGAGAGCAGGCUUGCCUAGC
Molecule: long non-coding RNA, 535 nt
Filed under: Durio zibethinus
Lineage: Eukaryota; Viridiplantae; Streptophyta; Magnoliopsida; Malvales; Malvaceae
Description: long non-coding RNA (DZIB_LNC000597)
Source: RNAcentral